Molecule: non-coding RNA, 856 nt
Organism: Sus scrofa (pig)
Lineage: Eukaryota; Metazoa; Chordata; Mammalia; Artiodactyla; Suidae
Source: RefSeq, a predicted model, not a curated record
CCUGCAUUGUGUGCUUACAACUGGGGAUAGAUGGCUAAGAAGCAGUUCCAAGUAUAUGACCACCAGGCUGCUGCCCACUAGAGUUCUGGAAGCGGUCCCUGGGCCGCACUAUUUAGGUUUUGCAAUGGUUACCACACACAGAAUCUCACACCAGCCAGGAAGGCCUCCUGGGAGGCCGGGACAGGCUCAUACAUAGGCAUGUCCCAUGAUCUGCGAGUCACGCCCAGGCCAUCAGAAGCAUGUGGUGUACUCAGGCAUCCUGGGAGGAGCCAUGCCGUGCCUUGCAUCAUGUCUGGCUGUGGGUGACGUGUGUGGCUUGUGGCGAUGACUCGUGGCUAUACAACACAUUCGGGUACAGGGAGGAAAACAGUGAGGCCAGUGACCCAGAACUGCAGCAGAAAGGGCGCUCACAAGUGGUGGGCUCUGCUAGAAGAUGUCAGACACCAUCAUGAUGAUGGGAAAGCCCAUGAAGGUGACCAAGGAGAGCUGCCACGAGAGGCUGAACAUGAAGACCACCACGCCCGUGACCUUGACCGUGUUCCGCAGGAAGAUGUUGAUAUUCUGGGAGACCAGGUCGCUAACCAUUGUGGUGUCCGAGAACAGCGUAGACAAGGCUGGCCCUUGUUUCCUGCUUGGAAAACAGCCCAAGGGGUGGGCGGUGUGAAAGGGGAACCCCGAAAACAGAAGCCAUUCUUCGGGACAAGAGGGUAUGGUUCAAUCAGAUGGAUGGGACUAAGCCAGUUGGGUUGUUGGUCACCAUAGGGAGAAGCGGAGGGGCGGGACCCUUGGGGACAUUUCUUGGGCCUCCCCAGCCCAAUUUCCUCCCAGGGGCUGGUCCUGACCUCCCUCCCUCCCU